Molecule: non-coding RNA, 964 nt
Organism: Pimephales promelas (fathead minnow)
Lineage: Eukaryota; Metazoa; Chordata; Actinopteri; Cypriniformes; Leuciscidae
Source: RefSeq, a predicted model, not a curated record
AACCUACAUUUACAUUUUAAUCAAAUCAAAUGUCUUUCUGAGAUUGCGCAUGCGUAGUAUGAGUGAACGGGGUCUGCAGUGCGCAGGUGCGGACGUCUGGCGUCGAAUGGCGCCUUUUCUCAGUUUUCUGAUUCCUGAGGUGUGAAACCUUCCCCGCACCACGGUCAGGACCAAACAGAUGAAAUUUGUUCCGACGAAAAGUGGAAGUCUCGGUCCGGAUCAAACUGAACAAAGGAAAAAAUAACAGCACACAGGUUUGGAACGACAUGAGGGUGAGUAAAUAAUUACAUAUUUUUUCUCUGUGAACUUUUCCUUUAAUAAACGCAGAGAAAAGCGAGAGAUCUAUCAGAUAAGCAAGAGUGAAAGCCCGAUAUGAGGCAGGAGCUGUGAUAUAUGUGGGACCCAGGUGUUUGUGUCUGCAGUCUGAUAUGUGCGCUCGUCUCCCAGAGCUCUGCCGUACGUCUGCCAUCCAUGUGGGACGCAACGCCACAUCAAAGCCAAAACAUUAUUUGUUCACCAAUAUCAUGUCAGUUUUCCUCUUCUCUCUCUCUCUCAAACAGUCCUUACAUCAGAAUUGGCAAAAGCUCUGUCCGAACUCAGCCGAGCACUGGAAGAGCUUUCAGUCACAGCUUUCACACAUGAAUUCAGACCUCCGCAGAAAUUGGAUUAAAUGCACAAUUUCACCAGAUGGACCAGAGCUGCUUACAAAGUGCCAGUCACCUUUUCAGCUGAUGUCUCAUCUCUGUGGAGAACAGUGGGAUAUGUAGACAAACAGACCAUCACCGCCAAGGGCAAAGACUCAAAGUUUCCUUCAAAAGGCUCUUGAAAUACAGGGCAAUAGAGAGAAAAGCAUGUUCUGUGCUGGCAGGAUGGAGAAAUGAACAGGAUCCCAGGGAGCACAUGGAGAUUGGGUUCCAGAUCUGCAGUAGUCAGCUGUUGUUCUGUAGAUGGGACACGCACACAC